UACGGAGGGUGCAAGCGUUAUCCGGAUUUACUGGGUUUAAAGGGUGCGUAGGUGGGCAGGUAAGUCAGUGGUGAAAUCUUCAAGCUUAACUUGGAAACUGCCAUUGAUACUAUUUGUCUUGAAUAUCCUGGAGGUAAGCGGAAUAUGUCAUGUAGCGGUGAAAUGCUUAGAUAUGACAUAGAACACCCAUUGCGAAGGCAGCUUACUACGGGAUUAUUGACACUGAGGCACGAAAGCGUGGGGAUCAAACAGG
RNAcentral lists this ribosomal RNA (253 nucleotides) under uncultured bacterium. RNAcentral describes it as "partial 16S ribosomal RNA". It matches the Rfam family "Bacterial small subunit ribosomal RNA", at positions 524 to 776 of the family's 1533-position model. The record is from RNAcentral. RNAcentral also lists the same sequence under 2 other names.